RNAcentral lists this transfer RNA (73 nucleotides) under Marinivivus vitaminiproducens. Its description in RNAcentral is "Geminicoccaceae bacterium SCSIO 64248 tRNA-Thr". It matches the Rfam family "tRNA". From Rfam's summary of the family: Transfer RNA (tRNA) molecules are approximately 80 nucleotides in length. Their secondary structure includes four short double-helical elements and three loops (D, anti-codon, and T loops). Lineage: Bacteria; Pseudomonadati; Pseudomonadota; Alphaproteobacteria; Geminicoccales; Geminicoccaceae. The record is from RNAcentral.
GCCGGCAUAGCUCAGCUGGUAGAGCAUCUGAUUUGUAAUCAGGAGGUCGCGGGUUCGAAUCCUGCUGCCGGCA